CAGACAGGUACUGAGGUGCCGAGCCACGCACAGCCUUAGAGGUGAGCAGGAGGACUCAAAACCUGACAGGAAGCCAGUGCAGGGACUCCAGGACAGGAGUGAUAUGGUCACUUGCACUGGACAUGGUCAGGAUUCCGGCUGCCGAAUUCCGGACACACCGCAGUCUGUUCAGAGCGGGUCUAGAUACCCCUGGGAGUAGAGUGCGAUAGUCACGACAAGACAGUGAACAGUUACCUGUGUAACCUGUGUUACCUGUGUUUACCAAUUUCACAGACGCAGGGAUGGACAAGCGAGUAUUCGGGAGCCCUACUGCUGGCCAGAGGGAAGAAGCCAGUUUUCAGGAUGAAGAACAACCACAGGAUUGAUGGGAAACUGUCCACGAGGAGGAGAGCAGCUCCUCUCCCGCAAGACGGGGGUCUGUGAUUCUCUCCAGGCCGUGCAGGAGGGACGCUGGACACUCGAACCCGCCUCACCUCUCAUUCUCCUCCCUCAGCCUGUCCAGCUCCCGCUCCCUGUCCGCCCGCCGCUGGACCUCGCUGUCCAGACGCUCCUUCUCCGCCCGCAGCCCCGACUCGGCCUCCUCCAGCUGGGCCCAGCGGUCCGACAGCUGGCCGAACCUGGAGCACAGCGGCACGGGUCAGCGCGGGUCAGCACGGACAGCUGGACACAGGGUCUGCACGGACAGCUGGACACAGGGUCAGCACGGGACAGCACGGACAGCUGGACACAGGGUCAGCACGGACAGCUGGACACAGGGUCAGCACAGGUCAGCACGGACAGCUGGACACUGGUCAGCACGAGUCAGCUUGACACAGGGUCAGCAAGGACAGCUGGACACAGGGUCAGCACGGGUCAGCACAGACAGCUGGACACUGGUCAGCAUGAGUCAGCUGGACACAGGGUCAGCAUGGGUCAGCAUGGAGAGCUGGACACAGGUCAGCACGGACAGCUGGACACAGGUCAGCACGGGUCAGCUGGACACAAGGUCAGCACAGGUCAGCACAGACAGCUGGACACUGGUCAAAGCGGGUCAGCUGGACACGGGUCAGCACGGACAGCUGGACACAGGGUCAGCACGGGUCAGAACAUACAGCUGGACACAGGUCAGCACGGGU
Lepisosteus oculatus (spotted gar) is the source of this 1115-nucleotide long non-coding RNA. The record is from Ensembl. Lineage: Eukaryota; Metazoa; Chordata; Actinopteri; Semionotiformes; Lepisosteidae.